Molecule: ribosomal RNA, 552 nt
Filed under: uncultured bacterium
Lineage: Bacteria
Description: partial 16S ribosomal RNA
Rfam family: Bacterial small subunit ribosomal RNA
Source: RNAcentral
UAGGGAAUCUUCGGCAAUGGACGAAGUCUGACCGAGCAACGCCGCGUGAGUGAAGAAGGUUUUCGGAUCGUAAAACUCUGUUGGUAGAGAAGAACGUUGGUGAGAGUGGAAAGCUCAUCAAGUGACGGUAACUACCCAGAAAGGGACGGCUAACUACGUGCCAGCAGCCGCGGUAAUACGUAGGUCCCCGAGCGUUGUCCGGAUUUAUUGGGCGUAAAGCGAGCGCAGGUGGUUUAUUAAGUCUGGUGUAAAAGGCAGUGGCUCACCAUUGUAUGCAUUGGAAACUGGUAGACUUGAGUGCAGGAGAGGAGAGUGGAAUUCCAUGUGUAGCGGUGAAAUGCGUAGAUAUAUGGAGGAACACCGGUGGCGAAAGCGGCUCUCUGGCCUGUAACUGACACUGAGGCUCGAAAGCGUGGGGAGCAAACAGGAUUAGAUACCCUGGUAGUCCACGCCGUAAACGAUGAGUGCUAGAUGUAGGGAGCUAUAAGUUCUCUGUAUCGCAGCUAACGCAAUAAGCACUCCGCCUGGGGAGUACGACCGCAAGGUUGAAAC